GUAGGGUGCGAGCGUUAAUCGGAAUUACUGGGCGUAAAGCGUGCGCAGGCGGCUUUGCAAGACAGAUGUGAAAUCCCCGGGCUCAACCUGGGAACUGCAUUUGUGACUGCAAGGCUAGAGUACGGCAGAGGGGGAUGGAAUUCCGCGUGUAGCAGUGAAAUGCGUAGAGAUGUGGAGGAACACCGAUGGCGAAGGCAGCCCCCUGGGCCGAUACUGACGCUCAUGCACGAAAGCGUGGGUAGCAAACAGGAUUAGAUACCCUGGUAGUCCACGCCCUAAACGAUGUCAACUAGGUGUUGGGUGGGUAAAACCAUUUAGUACCGUACKAACGCGUGAAGUUGACCGCC
Molecule: ribosomal RNA, 347 nt
Filed under: uncultured bacterium
Lineage: Bacteria
Description: bacterial SSU rRNA
Rfam family: Bacterial small subunit ribosomal RNA
Source: RNAcentral